RNAcentral lists this non-coding RNA (959 nucleotides) under Smutsia temminckii (ground pangolin). RNAcentral's name for it is "Manis temminckii (ground pangolin) 12S ribosomal RNA". It matches the Rfam family "Bacterial small subunit ribosomal RNA". Lineage: Eukaryota; Metazoa; Chordata; Mammalia; Pholidota; Manidae. The record is from RNAcentral.
CAUAGGUUUGGUCCCAGCCUUUUUAUUAGUUUAUGAUAAAAUUACACAUGCAAGUAUCCGCCCUACGGUGAAAACGCCCUUUAGCCUUUACAAGUCAAAAGGAGCUGGUAUCAAGCACGCCAAUUUAAGGCAGCUAGUGACACCUUGCUUACGCCACACCCCCACGGGAGACAGCAGUGAUAAAAAUUAAACCAUUAACGAAAGUUAGAUUUAGUUAUAUCAUUUAUGGGUUGGUAAAUCUCGUGCCAGCCACCGCGGUCAUACGAUUAACCCUAAUUAAUAAAAAACCGGCGUAAAAAGUGUCAAAGUGUAUUUAAAUCAAAUAAAAUUAAGCCCUAAUCAAGCUGUAAAAAGCCUCGAUUAUAGUAAAAAUAAACUAUGAAAAUAAUUUUAAUAAAACCCACACACGAUAGCUAAGAUCCAAACUGGGAUUAGAUACCCCACUAUGCUUAGCCUUAAACCUAAAUAAUUAAUUAAACAAAAUUAUUCGCCAGAGUACUACUAGCAAUAGCUUGAAACUCAAAGGACUUGGCGGUGCUUCAUAUCCCUCUAGAGGAGCCUGUCCUAUAAACGAUAAACCCCGAUAAACCUCACCAAUCCUAGCUAAUGCAGCCUAUAUACCGCCAUCCUCAGCAAACCCUAAUAAAGGAACCAUAGUAAGCAAGAUCAUUGAAACAUAAAAACGUUAGGUCAAGGUGUAGCUUAUGGAUUGGGAAGAGAUGGGCUACAUUUUCUAAAACAGAAUAAGACGAAUACCCUUAUGAAAAUAAGGGUUAAAGGAGGAUUUAGUAGUAAGACAAGAAUAGAGAGCUUGACUGAAUUAGGCCCUGAAGCACGCACACACCGCCCGUCACCCUCUUCAAAUUUCCAAAAAACAGUAAAUAUAUUAAUGAAUAACAAGAAUGAGAAGAGAUAAGUCGUAACAAGGUAAGCAUACUGGAAGGUGUGCUUGGAUAAUC